RNAcentral lists this ribosomal RNA (408 nucleotides) under uncultured bacterium. RNAcentral's name for it is "partial 16S ribosomal RNA". It matches the Rfam family "Bacterial small subunit ribosomal RNA", at positions 28 to 526 of the family's 1533-position model. The record is from RNAcentral.
GACGAACGCUGGCGGCGUGCUUAACACAUGCAAGUCGAACGAAGUGGCGAACGGGUGAGUAACGCGUAAUCAACCUGCCCUUCAGAGGGGAACAACAGUUGGAAACGACUGCUAAUACCGCAUACUGAAGGAGGGGAUUGCGUGGGAUUCGCUCGUUGGAUGGGUAACGGCCCACCAAGGCGAUGAUCAGUAGCCGGUCUUGUAGGAUGAACGGCCACAUUGGGACUGAGACACGGCCCAGAAUCCUACGGGAGGCAGCAGUGGGGAAUCUUCCGAAAUGGACGAAAGUCUGACGGAGCAACGCCGCGUGAGUGAUGACGGCCUUCGGGUUGUAAAGCUCUGUUAAUCGGGACGCGGUACCGGAAGAAAAAGCCACGGCUAACUACGUGCCAGCAGCCGCGGUAAUAC